GACGAACGCUGGCGGCGUGCCUAAUACAUGCAAGUCGAGCGCUGAAGCGUGGUACUUGUACCUAUUGGAUGAGCAGCGAACGGGUGAGUAACGCGUGGGGAAUCUGCCUUUGAGCGGGGGACAACAUCUGGAAACGAAUGCUAAUACCGCAUAAUAUUUUUAAACACAAGUUUUAAGAUUGAAAGAUGCAAUUGCAUCACUCAAUGAUGAUCCCGCGUUGUAUUAGCCAGUUGGUGAGGUAAAGGCUCACCAAGGCAAUGUAACUUAGCCGCCCGGAGAGGGGGAUGGGCACAUUGGGAACUGGACACCGCCCAAGCUCCUUCGGGGGGGAGGAAGAAGGGAACCUCGGCAAAUGAGGGAAGUCUGGACGAGGAACGCCGGGGGGGUGAAGGAAGUUUUCGGAUCGUAAAACUCUGUUGGUAGGGAAAGACGAUAGGGGGAGUUGAAUGUGCAUCAAGUGACGGUAACUACCCAGAAAGGGACGGCUAACUACGUG
This 496-nucleotide ribosomal RNA is filed under the name uncultured bacterium. RNAcentral describes it as "partial 16S ribosomal RNA". It matches the Rfam family "Bacterial small subunit ribosomal RNA", at positions 28 to 507 of the family's 1533-position model. The record is from RNAcentral.